This 352-nucleotide ribosomal RNA is filed under the name uncultured Streptococcus sp. RNAcentral's name for it is "bacterial SSU rRNA". It matches the Rfam family "Bacterial small subunit ribosomal RNA", at positions 1028 to 1382 of the family's 1533-position model. The record is from RNAcentral. Lineage: Bacteria; Bacillati; Bacillota; Bacilli; Lactobacillales; Streptococcaceae.
UCGGUGACAGGUGUGCAUGGUUGUCGUCAGCUCGUGUCGUGAGAUGUUGGGUUAAGUCCCGCAACGAGCGCAACCCCUAUUGUUAGUUGCCAUCAUUCAGUUGGGCACUCUAGCGAGACUGCCGGUAAUAAACCGGAGGAAGUGGGGAUGACGUCAAAUCAUCAUGCCCCUUAUGACCUGGGCUACACACGUGCUACAAUGGUUGGUACAACGAGUUGCGAGUCGGUGACGGCGAGCUAAUCUCUUAAAGCCAAUCUCAGUUCGGAUUGUAGGCUGCAACUCGCCUACAUGAAGUCGGAAUCGCUAGUAAUCGCGGAUCAGCACGCCGCGGUCGAAUACGUUCCCGGGCCUU